RNAcentral lists this transfer RNA (77 nucleotides) under Gallionellaceae bacterium. RNAcentral's name for it is "tRNA-Glu". It matches the Rfam family "tRNA". Rfam says of the family: Transfer RNA (tRNA) molecules are approximately 80 nucleotides in length. Their secondary structure includes four short double-helical elements and three loops (D, anti-codon, and T loops). The record is from RNAcentral. Lineage: Bacteria; Pseudomonadati; Pseudomonadota; Betaproteobacteria; Nitrosomonadales; Gallionellaceae.
GUCCCCAUCGUCUAGCUGGCCAAGGACAGUGGAUUUUCGAUCCACCAACCGGAGUUCGAAUCUCCGUGGGGACACCA